Molecule: ribosomal RNA, 301 nt
Filed under: uncultured bacterium
Lineage: Bacteria
Description: partial 16S ribosomal RNA
Rfam family: Bacterial small subunit ribosomal RNA
Source: RNAcentral
CAGCCGCCGCGGUAAUACCGAGGGUGCGAGCGUUAAUCGGAUUUACUGGGCGUAAAGCGUGCGUAGGCGGCUUCUUAAGUCGGAUGUGAAAUCCCUGAGCUUAACUUAGGAAUUGCAUUCGAUACUGGGUAGCUAGAGUAUGGGAGAGGAUGGUAGAAUUCCAGGUGUAGCGGUGAAAUGCGUAGAGAUCUGGAGGAAUACCGAUGGCGAAGGCAGCCAUCUGGCCUAAUACUGACGCUGAGGUACGAAAGCAUGGGGAGCAAACAGGAUUAGAUACCCCUGUAGUCCCUGUCUCUUAUAC